UCAGGCCUAACACAUGCAAGUCGAACGGCAGCGCGGGCUUCGGCCUGGCGGCGAGUGGCGAACGGGUGAGUAAUGCAUCGGGACGUGCCCAAGAGUGGGGGAUAACUAGUCGAAAGAUUAGCUAAUACCGCGUACGAUCUAAGGAUGAAAGUGGGGGACCGCAAGGCCUCAUGCUCCUGGAGCGGCCGAUGUCUGAUUAGCUAGUUGGUGGGGUAAAAGCCUACCAAGGCGACGAUCAGUAGCUGGUCUGAGAGGACGACCAGCCACACUGGGACUGAGACACGGCCCAGACUCCUACGGGAGGCAGCAGUGGGGAAUUUUGGACAAUGGGGGCAACCCUGAUCCAACAGUGCCGCGUGUGUGAAGAAGGCCUUCGGGUGUAAAUCACGGUGUCAGGAACGAAACGGCGAGGGCUAAUAUC
Molecule: ribosomal RNA, 421 nt
Filed under: uncultured bacterium
Lineage: Bacteria
Description: bacterial SSU rRNA
Rfam family: Bacterial small subunit ribosomal RNA
Source: RNAcentral